CGCUGGGGACAGGGUGGGAGGGUGGGGACAGGCAGGCCGGACACCCUGGACCCACUCGAGGGCCUGCAGGGGUCAGAGCACCGUCCCACCUGUCACCUGGACUGUCACUGCUGGGCCACCCCCACCGCCCCAGGCCGCAGACGGGUGCACGCGAACACCCUCCUUUUCCAGGUGCUGAGCAUGGAGCAUGAGUCUGCGCUGAUGUCAGCCUCCCAAAGUGUCUUGGCUGGGCCUCGAGGCCACCUCCACCCCCAGCAGUGCUGAGAAGCCCAAGGUCCGAGACUGACAAGCGUUUCCGGGGCUG
This is a long non-coding RNA of Pongo pygmaeus (Bornean orangutan), 304 nucleotides long. RefSeq lists it as uncharacterized. The transcript has 3 exons. Lineage: Eukaryota; Metazoa; Chordata; Mammalia; Primates; Hominidae. The record is from RefSeq and is a predicted model, not a curated record.